CCUACGGGUCGCAGCAGUGGGGAAUAUUGCACAAUGGGCGCAAGCCUGAUGCAGCCAUGCCGCGUGUGUGAAGAAGGCCUUCGGGUUGUAAAGCACUUUCAGCGAGGAGGAAGGCGGUGAGGUUAAUAACCUCAUCGAUUGACGUUACCCGCAGAAGAAGCACCGGCUAACUCCGUGCCAGCAGCCGCGGUAAUACGGAGGGUGCAAGCGUUAAUCGGAAUUACUGGGCGUAAAGCGCACGCAGGCGGUCUGUCAAGUCGGAUGUGAAAUCCCCGGGCUCAACCUGGGAACUGCAUUUGAAACUGGCAAGCUAGAGUCUCGUAGAGGGGGGUAGAAUUCCAGGUGUAGCGGUGAAAUGCGUAGAGAUCUGGAGGAAUACCGGUGGCGAAGGCGGCCCCCUGGACAAAGACUGACGCUCAGGUGCGAAAGCGUGGGGAGCAAACAGGAUUAGAUACCCUAGUAGUC
This 465-nucleotide ribosomal RNA is filed under the name uncultured bacterium. Its description in RNAcentral is "bacterial SSU rRNA". It matches the Rfam family "Bacterial small subunit ribosomal RNA", at positions 338 to 795 of the family's 1533-position model. The record is from RNAcentral.